AAUGAUAUUAAUUUAAUGGCCGCGGUAUUUUGACCGUGCAAAGGUAGCAUAAUCAUUAGUUCAUUAAUUGUGAAAUGGUAUGAAUGGUUUAACGAAACAUUGACUGUCUCAAAUUUAUUAUUAAAAUUUAAUUUUUUGGUUAAAAAGCUUAAAUUUUUUUAAAGGACGAGAAGACCCUAUAGAUCUUUAUUUUUAAUAUUUAUUCUUUUUUUGUUUUGUUUUAAUUAUUUGAUUUUUAAUUGGGGUGAUUUUGAGAUUUGGUUAACUCUUAUUUUUUUUUUUCAUUUAUUUAUGUUUAUAUGACCUUUUAUUAUUGUUUAUAANAAAAANAUACCUUAGGGAUAACAGCGUAAUUCUAUUUGANAGUUCAUAUUGACAAUGGAGAUUGCGACCUCGAUGUUGAAUUAANAUUAGUUUUUGGUGUANAAGCUUUAAUUUUAGGUCUGUUCGACCUUUAAAAUCUUACAUGAUCUGAGUUCAAA
Molecule: ribosomal RNA, 482 nt
Filed under: Phyllium mindorense
Lineage: Eukaryota; Metazoa; Arthropoda; Insecta; Phasmatodea; Phylliidae
Description: partial large subunit ribosomal RNA
Rfam family: Bacterial large subunit ribosomal RNA (bases 341-482)
Source: RNAcentral